Molecule: long non-coding RNA, 489 nt
Organism: Octopus sinensis (East Asian common octopus)
Lineage: Eukaryota; Metazoa; Mollusca; Cephalopoda; Octopoda; Octopodidae
Exons: 3
Source: RefSeq, a predicted model, not a curated record
GUAAUGAUACAUAUUAAGCAUACAUUGAGUAAUAUAUUUAACAGAAAACCCUAACAAUAAUAUAACAUUUAUUGACAUAAUGAAUUAUUUAGCCACAUGAGUGCCAUUUCAACAGAUAACUUCAAAAACUAUUAGUUAUGGAAUCUGUCAAUUUCUUAAUAGUAGCAGGUCGGGCUGCCUCUGUUGCAGCUUUGAUGGUUGCCCAUAAGACAUCUUUUGAUAUAAAUUGACAUCCAUCAGCAUAAACAUCUUGUUUAAUGAUGGACCAAAGAUUUUUGAUAGGGUUGAGAUCCAGAGAUGCUGGCGGCCACACCAUCAUCCUUUCCCCUUGUAUGCUGUAAGACCCUAGGAAUGUUUGGGUGGUCCUGGCAAAGUGGGAGGAAGCAUUGUCAUGCAUGAAUAUGAGAUUCCUUAGAAGUGUCAGCAGUAUGUCAUCUAGCCAGGGAUCCAAGACCUCAUUCAGGAGAUUGCAGAAGGCUGGUAACAAGU